GUUUAUAAAAUCCAAAGGAAUAGAUGAUGAGCAUGUUCACUUGAAUAGAAUUGUUUUAACUGGGGUGUAGGUACACUCUGUUCAAUUAUAAUAACUAGCCAUAAUAAGGUCUCCUUUUCUUCCUUAAAGCGCGUACUUGCUUUGUAAGUGAUCUGAAGCGAGGACUAAAAAUCCAAGCAGCAAAAUUUAAUAUUGAUGGGAAUAAUGAGGUAAGUUUAAAAAAAAAAAAAAGGCAUCUUUUUGCAAAGGUUACAACAUGUGUGGACUUAUGUUUAUGAUAUUUAUAUUUCAGCGUCCCUCCCCACCCCCAAAUGUUGACUAUCCAUUAGAUGGAGAGAAGAUUUUACAUAUCCUUGGAUCAAUCAGAGAUUCAGUUGUGGAAAUUCUUUUUGAACAAGAUAAUGAAGAGCAAUCAGUUGCCACUUUAAUAUUGGAUUCCCUUAUACAGUGUCCGAUAGACACCAGGAAGCAACUAGCAGAGAAUUUGGUAG
RNAcentral lists this small RNA (491 nucleotides) under Pan troglodytes (chimpanzee). Its description in RNAcentral is "retained intron". The record is from RNAcentral. Lineage: Eukaryota; Metazoa; Chordata; Mammalia; Primates; Hominidae.